AUUGUAUUUCUUUAUUUAAAAUGUUUUUGAUUGGUUUGAUGGGAUAUUCUAAACUUAAAAGGUUUGUUUUUAUUAGCUGUGAGUAGAAAAUCAUACUAAUUAACAGAAAUUAAGGCUUGAAAACAUCAGUUAGUGUGAAAUUCAUCUAUAUUUGUUGCAAAUAGUGAAUUGGGAUACUGCUAAAAGUACUACAGUAGUACUAAAACUUUACAAAGUUGCAAAAGUAGCCUUAGUCUUGUGACGCACCCACAUGGGUUACUCCAUUGCAUCCUGGAUUGGUUACCAUGGUGACUGUAACAUGGCAGUAUAGUUUGGUACCACACUCUUGUUUGCUGACUGACGAGUGAACAGCCAAUGCCGCAAGGUUCUCCAAGGAAACUAACAUCAACAGAGAUGAAUCUGCAGCUGAUGGAAAACAACACAAAUUUGGCAUGAUAGACUGACAUGGACAAGAUCAAGUUAGAGGCCGAUCUAGUCCAGGUGCUUACUGGCAGUCCAUGAUGCAACAUCACUUAUGUUCUGGACGUCUCGGAGACAACAAGAGCUGUUCUGGGAUCAGUGAAACGCCUUCUGAUCCACACUGCUGGCUAAAACUUCUCUUCGAGACACUCUGUUUAACAUCAUUACAUUCUCGAAUACGGUUCAGUGCUGGUCCCAGGACAUGCUUUCCUGUCUUCCUCACACCAUUUUCACAGCUCUUCCCUGGGUUCACUCCAUUAACUGCAGAUCCGGCAAUAAUGUCCUCCCUGCCCUGAAAGCGGCCCUCUCUGACCCUGCUUGCCACACUGUUAACCUGCUCUGCACUGAUCUCCCUGAGCAGCCAGAGCUGGUGCUCGGAUCCCUGCCAGCCCUGGCAGCCUGUAGGCCUAUCAACCAGAGACUACCUGCUGUGCCUGAGCUACACCACAAGAGGGAGCUGCUACUUAAUCAUGUUUGAUGUGCAUGAUGAUUCCUCUCCAUAUUGUUGAGAGCCAACCAUCAGUUCCAGCAUCCCAAGCCAAGUGUUCCUGUCACUGCACCUCUGCCAUUAAAUCUCAGCCAACUCCACCACAACUCAGGUUGGUUUGCUAACAGUGUUUGCAUGCACAAACACUACAUGUGCUUUUUCACUUUGUUGUAGGUGUAGCCUGAGUGUUUCAUCAGGUUCCUGUGUGCUGUGUAGUCCAGCUGAGGCCAGGUCGGAGUUCUUCCCAGGGUGCAGGGUGCUGGCCAGGAGAACGGUGGAUGGCCUUUACUGCUCGAGCAGUGUUAUCCAGCAAGUACAGGUGGAAUCAUGCUAGUAUUUGAAUAAGACAAUCAGUAAUCUGCAGUGACUUGCAAAAGUAUUCAUACCUCAACACAAUGCAGGGCCACAGGAAAGUGGGUCAACAUUUUUUGACAAAUAAAAAUCUGUAUUGAGCCUCACCGAGUCAGUGCUCUGUAGAACAACCUGUUACUGCAAUAACAGAUGCAGUUACUUUAGGGAAUGUGUGUUUUAGCUUUCCACAUCUAGAGGCAGAGAUAUUGAGCCUUCUUCUUUGCAACAAAGCACACGCGAGAGAGCAUCUGUGUGCAUCAGUUUUUAGGUCUUGCACGGAUUCUCAGUUGUAUUUGGGUCUGGAUUUUGACAGGUUCCUUCCAGUACAUGAAUGCGCUUCUUAACCAUUCCGUUGCAGUCCUGAUUAUAUGCUCAGGGUUGCUGUGCUGCUGGAAAAUUGAGUUCUGCCCCAGUCUCUUUUGCAGUCUUUUGCAGCCAUUAAUGUUUUCUUCCAGGAUUGCCCUGUAUUUACCUCAAUCCAUCUUACCAUCAACUCUGUGUGUGAGAUUUUAUGUUUGCAAUGAAUUUAUUUAGGUGUAUCCUAGUAAACUGAGCUAAAUAACGGUAUAUUUUACCUAUACCUGAUGUCAAGUCAAGCAAUUUCCAAACGUGCUGGUAGAUUUAAGAAUUUUAAGAGUUUAUUUUUUGCAAAACAAUGGCAACAUAAUAAAAUCUGCCUAUUUUUUAAACUUAAUGUGGAACUCUAUAAUGCACGAGGUACUAUACUUUGAUUGACAUUUUCCUCCCACACAUCCAAACUCAGGGGAGCACAGGACCUUUGGUAGUUGAGUUUGACCAUCAAGAAAGUACUAGUUUUGGCGCAGCCCCCUCCCCACGCCAGCUGGUCUGCUACCAAGAUCUGGUCAUUGACAGCAGAGCUCGCAACCACCGACUGGUUCCUGGUGAUUUUGUCCUGUCGCCAUGGGAAUCAGAUCUGUUCAGAUAUGGUCCAGGUCGAGUGGCGGCAGUUGCACCUCACAGAGCCGAUGUUGUGGCCAAUCUCCAGGUGCUGAUGUGGAACAGCUGUGUGCCUCUGGUUCCUGACAGUCUGGUGUUGCCCAUCUCACUAUCUCACUAUUUUAGACUCGUGAGGCAGUUAGAGAUCCCAGUCCCAGUUCCUGGACAAUGCUGCAGCUGGGUCUGCACCAAAUCUCCAUGCACACUCCAGAGAUCUUUCACACACUGCUGCCAGUCCAAAUAUACCCCUCCAUGCUGUUCAGUUACAACCCAGCUGCCCUGCAUAGUUCCACCCAGCUGUAGGUCCAGCCUGGGAGAGCCAUGCCAUUUUAACAGGGGAGGAACCAACAGACAGGAUGACUUCAGAGAUGAACUUGUCAGGAAUAGAGACUCUGAGGCACCAUCCCCACCUCCUUCAUCUCCAACUAUAGAUGAGAGGAAUGCUUCAAAUUCUCCCGAAGUAAAGCUGAAGAGUAAAUGACAACGCCCUCCCUGGAGGUACUGGAGGAGAACUGGACCAGAACCAAAGCACAAACAACCAGGAAGUGAAAUUCACAGGAUGUCUCAUUGCUCCAGCCUCCCAGUCCCACAGAUCAGUGCCUCACCAAACCACAGCUCCCUGUUUCAUUCCCUUCCUGAUGCUAAAGCAGGAAAAAUGAACAUAGGAGAUGUUUUUGGAAAAGCCAGCUUUAAACCUCGACCACCUGCACAACGGCAGUCUUUCUCUGCCAGCGAAGCCACUCUUAUCCCUUCAUAGUCAGACGUCCAUGCUUAAUGGCACCUCUGGUACAAAUGUGUAAAAGGCCCUAAAUAAAUUCAUAUUUUUUAUAUAGGUAGCAUGAUCUCAUGCAGAUAAAUGUAGAAAGCCUCAACCUUUAAUUUGGGUAUGUAUACAGUAGGGAAAAAGGACAUUAGGAAAGUGUUUAAAAUAAAAUCAAUACUACCACAGAUAUUGCCACCCCUAACAGUUCAUAUAAAAUAAAGCAUUUUUAAAUUAAUAUUUAAAUAUAAUCGGUCUGUCCAAAAAAAAAAGUUUUAUCUUUUUUUCCUAUAAACAUAAAAAUGAAGAGACACAGAGACGCAUUUCUUCCAACUGCUGUUCAUAAUAGGAGAGACAAGAGAAAGUGCUUCUCAUUGAGGGCGAAUUUGUAUUGAUCUUUAUAAAUCAGGGAAUACAAAAGAACAUUGAUCAUUACCAAGAUAACUGGCUGUUUGGGAAUCAUCCUAUCAAAAAAUCUUUUUCUGUUCUACCAUCACUAACAUGUACUUUGUUAAAAUCUACUGGCACUUUUAAGUGGAACUAUGUACUUCGAUCAGAUGAGACUAAAAUUGAGCUUUUCUGCAGCAAAUACUUAAGGUGGGUGUGAUGUAAAAUGAGGGUGUCUAAACUUUUUGUUAUGUGGGCCAAUAUUGUAAAGUCAAAGCAACUCACAAGCCAUAAAAAUAUAUAUAUUUUUUAACUAAAAUCCCCAAACUUUUUAUUGUAUUUUAAUUAAACAACAUAGUCAGAUUGUUCAAAAGGAUAAGUCAUUGUAGAUACAAAACCUAAAAAGGGUUUUGCAUGUUUGCCGUAUUAAAAAAAGACAUCCAGUUUGCAUUUGACUCCACUGAAAAGAAAUUAGACAACGAUUGAGUCCACAUCCUGCAAUUUUGGGUCACUUCUUUGAAAACGCUUGCUGUAUUUAGCAAACUGUAAGUAAUGAUUAGGCAGAUUUGGAGAUCUGAAUGCACCAAAGUCUGCUUUCGAGAUAAAAUCACUGGGUAGAGGUGGUCCUAUUUGUUAUUAAACUAAACAAAUGCAAAAGGCGUGAUUAUUAAAAAUCCUACUUUGUGUUGGACUAAACGCUUUCCAUUUCAAGAAUUAAUUUGUAAUAAUUAUGCCCUAAUUAAAAUAAAAAAGUCUCUGCUGGCAAA
Molecule: long non-coding RNA, 4168 nt
Organism: Girardinichthys multiradiatus
Lineage: Eukaryota; Metazoa; Chordata; Actinopteri; Cyprinodontiformes; Goodeidae
Exons: 6
Source: RefSeq, a predicted model, not a curated record